UACGGGGGGGGCAAGCGUUGUUCGGAAUUACUGGGCGUAAAGGGCUCGUAGGCGGCCAACUAAGUCAGACGUGAAAUCCCCAGGCUUAACUUGGGAACUGCGUCCGAUACUGGGAGGCUUGAGUGCGGGAGAGGGAUGUGGAAUUCCAGGUGUAGCGGUGAAAUGCGUAGAUAUCUGGAGGAACACCGGUGGCGAAGGCGGCAUCCUGGACCGACACUGACGCUGAGGCGCGAAAGCUAGGGGAGCAAACGGG
Molecule: ribosomal RNA, 253 nt
Filed under: uncultured bacterium
Lineage: Bacteria
Description: partial 16S ribosomal RNA
Rfam family: Bacterial small subunit ribosomal RNA
Source: RNAcentral